GCCACAACAUAGCUCAGUCAGUAAAGCAUGAGGCUCUGAAUCUCAGAGUUGUGGGUUUGAGCCCCACGUUGGGCA
Molecule: non-coding RNA, 75 nt
Organism: Podarcis lilfordi (Lilford's wall lizard)
Lineage: Eukaryota; Metazoa; Chordata; Lepidosauria; Squamata; Lacertidae
Source: the annotation of a GenBank genome assembly